GGGCAAUUAGCUCAGGUGGAUAGAGCGUUGGCCUCCGAAGCCAAAGGUCGUGGGUUCGAGCCCCGCAUUGCCCACCA
Molecule: transfer RNA, 77 nt
Filed under: Desulfovibrio sp.
Lineage: Bacteria; Pseudomonadati; Thermodesulfobacteriota; Desulfovibrionia; Desulfovibrionales; Desulfovibrionaceae
Also listed under: 2 other names
Description: tRNA-Arg
Rfam family: tRNA
About the family: Transfer RNA (tRNA) molecules are approximately 80 nucleotides in length.
Source: RNAcentral